This 227-nucleotide ribosomal RNA is filed under the name uncultured bacterium. RNAcentral's name for it is "partial 16S ribosomal RNA". It matches the Rfam family "Bacterial small subunit ribosomal RNA", at positions 109 to 334 of the family's 1533-position model. The record is from RNAcentral.
AGUAACGCGUGAGGAACCUGCCUCAAAGAGGGGGACAACAGUUGGAAACGACUGCUAAUACCGCAUAAGCCCACGGCUCGGCAUCGAGCAGAGGGAAAAGGAGCAAUCCGCUUUGAGAUGGCCUCGCGUCCGAUUAGCUAGUUGGCGAGGUAAUGGCCCACCAAGGCGACGAUCGGUAGCCGGACUGAGAGGUUGAACGGCCACAUUGGGACUGAGACACGGCCCAG